AUGGACACACGAAAGUAUUUCUGUCUCUUUUAUAUCAAUAAAAAUUGAAUUAUAGGUGAAGAUGCCUAUAUAUUUUUAAAGGACAAAAAGACCCUAUUGAGCUUUAUUUCUUAUUAAUUAAAAAAGAAAUACCACAAAUUUUUAUUAAAAGGAGAUUCUGUUGGGGCGACAAAGGAACACAAAAAACUUCCAAAAAAAAAAARAAAACACUUCUAUUCAAUGAUCCUUAAUAGCUAAAGAAACCAGCUACCAUAGGGAUAACAGGCUAAUCAUUUUAAAGAGUUCAUAUUGAUAAAAUGGGUUGGCACCUCGAUGUUGGCUUAGGGUAUCCUAUAAGUGC
This 340-nucleotide ribosomal RNA is filed under the name Bathyglycinde cf. profunda NHM_242. RNAcentral's name for it is "partial large subunit ribosomal RNA". Lineage: Eukaryota; Metazoa; Annelida; Polychaeta; Phyllodocida; Goniadidae. The record is from RNAcentral.